This 1403-nucleotide long non-coding RNA is filed under the name Homo sapiens (human). RNAcentral describes it as "HSALNT0400241". Lineage: Eukaryota; Metazoa; Chordata; Mammalia; Primates; Hominidae. The record is from RNAcentral.
UCUGACACUGGCCCUCAGAAGGCCAUGGGCUCACCAAGGGCUGCCAGUUCGCAGAAGUCCCUCACCUUUGUUCCACACCUGCUGACUUUCUAAACUGCUGUCCUCUGGACUGUGCUAGGUACACAUGACAGCACCUUGGCAGCCAUGUCUUUCAGAGCCCCGUUAUGCAAUGCCAUGGCCCUAGAAGCAGAAGGAACCAUCAAAGAACCAGGCUAAAGGACUUUGGGACCAACAGGCAUUCAGGAAUGCACCUGGCCAGGAGCUAAGGGGCCACCAGCUGACAAGAGUUGCCACCAGACACGCCAGGUAGAAGAUGUCAGCUGGCAAUGGCCAUGCCAGCCUAAGCUACCUCUGUGGAGUGAACAAUGUAGCCCAGAAGAGCCAGCACAGAUCCCUCCCACCUAUCAGCCCUGUCUUCCCCCAUCUUGAUGCAUGUCCCAGGUAAGCAUUCCUGAUUCUGCUCACUUGGGACACAGUUCUCUACCCUGUUUGUGAUCUCAGGACCUGACACCUGUCUGCUCAAGCCAGGUUCCAUGGAGGAGCAGAACUUCAUCCUGCUCUGCAUUUAGGGCCUGCCUCGGAGACAGUAGGGGAGCUCCCAAGAACUCACAAGUUUGGAAAUUAAUAUUUCUCUUUGCAAGAUAAAAUACAGAUCAGCCCAAAGUACAUCAGACCUGAGGUCCAAUUCCAAACAGAAAGUCGGCCCUGAUAAUCCCUGGGUUAAAGGCCCAAGUGUUUGAAACUGAAUUGCACGCUCGACUAGGGAGCCCUUUCUAAGCUGGUACAACACACAGAGGCCAACAGUAAAGAAUAAUAAAUCUGGCUAUACAUUUUGUAUAGUGUGCACAUGUGCACAAACACACACACCGGACACACACACCACAAAGACCAAAGAGGAAAGGGAACACACAAUAAGUCAUUUAGAACAUAUUUGGUAAAGGGCUAAAUUCCCUUUUAUGGAAACAGCUCUUUAAAAGCCAACAGAAAAAGACAAUUUCCUCAAUCGUCCUGGCUCAAAAUGAGCCAAGAAUUCAAGCAGACAAUCUACUCAAAAGGAAUCCAUUUCCUCUCUUGGCCACACAUCAGUUGUCUGAAAACAGUUGGCCUGUGGCGAUGCCUCACUCCAACUGCCACACUGAUCCACACAUCUUGUGUCCAAAGCAGAACACAAGUGUCCAUGGGAGGUUGCACAACACAGAGCCAAGAGAUGCCUGUGUCCUCCACUGAGCAUUCCACAGGGGAAGGGGCCUGGUAAAAGGAAAAGGAUGGAGGCAGUGUUUGUUGAGCGCUGUGGCUGGAGUGCAAUGGCAUGUCUCCCAGGUUCAAGCGAUUCUCCUGCCUCAGCCUCCUGAGUAGCUGGGAUUACAGGCAUGUGCCACCAUGCCUGGCUAAUUUUGUAUUUU